GAGGUUAAGCGACUAAGCGUACACGGUGGAUGCCCUGGCAGUCAGAGGCGAUGAAGGACGUGCUAAUCUGCGAUAAGCGUCGGUAAGGUGAUAUGAACCGUUAUAACCGGCGAUUUCCGAAUGGGGAAACCCAGUGUGUUUCGACACACUAUCAUUAACUGAAUCCAUAGGUUAAUGAGGCGAACCGGGGGAACUGAAACAUCUAAGUACCCCGAGGAAAAGAAAUCAACCGAGAUUCCCCCAGUAGCGGCGAGCGAACGGGGAGCAGCCCAGAGCCUGAAUCAGUGUGUGUGUUAGUGGAAGCGUCUGGAAAGGCGCGCGAUACAGGGUGACAGCCCCGUACACAAAAAUGCACAUGCUGUGAGCUCGAUGAGUAGGGCGGGACACGUGGUAUCCUGUCUGAAUAUGGGGGGACCAUCCUCCAAGGCUAAAUACUCCUGACUGACCGAUAGUGAACCAGUACCGUGAGGGAAAGGCGAAAAGAACCCCGGCGAGGGGAGUGAAAAAGAACCUGAAACCGUGUACGUACAAGCAGUGGGAGCACGCUUAGGCGUGUGACUGCGUACCUUUUGUAUAAUGGGUCAGCGACUUAUAUUCUGUAGCAAGGUUAACCGAAUAGGGGAGCCGAAGGGAAACCGAGUCUUAACUGGGCGUUAAGUUGCAGGGUAUAGACCCGAAACCCGGUGAUCUAGCCAUGGGCAGGUUGAAGGUUGGGUAACACUAACUGGAGGACCGAACCGACUAAUGUUGAAAAAUUAGCGGAUGACUUGUGGCUGGGGGUGAAAGGCCAAUCAAACCGGGAGAUAGCUGGUUCUCCCCGAAAGCUAUUUAGGUAGCGCCUCGUGAAUUCAUCUCCGGGGGUAGAGCACUGUUUCGGCAAGGGGGUCAUCCCGACUUACCAACCCGAUGCAAACUGCGAAUACCGGAGAAUGUUAUCACGGGAGACACACGGCGGGUGCUAACGUCCGUCGUGAAGAGGGAAACAACCCAGACCGCCAGCUAAGGUCCCAAAGUCAUGGUUAAGUGGGAAACGAUGUGGGAAGGCCCAGACAGCCAGGAUGUUGGCUUAGAAGCAGCCAUCAUUUAAAGAAAGCGUAAUAGCUCACUGGUCGAGUCGGCCUGCGCGGAAGAUGUAACGGGGCUAAACCAUGCACCGAAGCUGCGGCAGCGACGCUGAUGCGUUGUUGGGUAGGGGAGCGUUCUGUAAGCCUGUGAAGGUGUGCUGUGAGGCAUGCUGGAGGUAUCAGAAGUGCGAAUGCUGACAUAAGUAACGAUAAAGCGGGUGAAAAGCCCGCUCGCCGGAAGACCAAGGGUUCCUGUCCAACGUUAAUCGGGGCAGGGUGAGUCGACCCCUAAGGCGAGGCCGAAAGGCGUAGUCGAUGGGAAACAGGUUAAUAUUCCUGUACUUGGUGUUACUGCGAAGGGGGGACGGAGAAGGCUAUGUUGGCCGGGCGACGGUUGUCCCGGUUUAAGCGUGUAGGCUGGUUUUCCAGGCAAAUCCGGAAAAUCAAGGCUGAGGCGUGAUGACGAGGCACUACGGUGCUGAAGCAACAAAUGCCCUGCUUCCAGGAAAAGCCUCUAAGCAUCAGGUAACAUCAAAUCGUACCCCAAACCGACACAGGUGGUCAGGUAGAGAAUACCAAGGCGCUUGAGAGAACUCGGGUGAAGGAACUAGGCAAAAUGGUGCCGUAACUUCGGGAGAAGGCACGCUGAUAUGUAGGUGAAGUCCCUCGCGGAUGGAGCUGAAAUCAGUCGAAGAUACCAGCUGGCUGCAACUGUUUAUUAAAAACACAGCACUGUGCAAACACGAAAGUGGACGUAUACGGUGUGACGCCUGCCCGGUGCCGGAAGGUUAAUUGAUGGGGUUAGCCGCAA
RNAcentral lists this ribosomal RNA (1875 nucleotides) under Escherichia coli. RNAcentral describes it as "partial 23S ribosomal RNA". It matches the Rfam family "Bacterial large subunit ribosomal RNA", at positions 1 to 1898 of the family's 2925-position model. The record is from RNAcentral. Lineage: Bacteria; Pseudomonadati; Pseudomonadota; Gammaproteobacteria; Enterobacterales; Enterobacteriaceae.